ACGAACGCUGGCGGCGUGCUUAACACAUGCCAGUCGAACGGAAAGGCCCUGCUUUUGUGGGGUGCUCGAGUGGCGAACGGGUGAGUAACACGUGAGUAACCUGCCCUUGACUUUGGGAUAACUUCAGGAAACUGGGGCUAAUACCGGAUAGGAGCUCCUGCUGCAUGGUGGGGGUUGGAAAGUUUCGGCGGUUGGGGAUGGACUCGCGGCUUAUCAGCUUGUUGGUGGGGUAGUGGCUUACCAAGGCUUUGACGGGUAGCCGGCCUGAGAGGGUGACCGGCCACAUUGGGACUGCGAUACGGCCCAGACUCCUACGGGAGGCAGCAGUGGGGAAUAUUGCACAAUGGGCGGAAGCCUGAUGCAGCAACGCCGCGUGCGGGAUGACGGCCUUCGGGUUGUAAACCGCUUUCGCCUGUGACGAAGCGUGAGUGACGGUAAUGGGUAAAGAAGCACCGGCUAACUACGUG
Molecule: ribosomal RNA, 467 nt
Filed under: uncultured bacterium
Lineage: Bacteria
Description: partial 16S ribosomal RNA
Rfam family: Bacterial small subunit ribosomal RNA
Source: RNAcentral